UGCAGUCGAACGGUAGCACAGGGGAGCUUGCUCCUCGGGUGACGAGUGGCGGACGGGUGAGUAAUGUCUGGGGAUCUGCCCGAUGGAGGGGGAUAACCACUGGAAACGGUGGCUAAUACCGCAUAACGUCGCAAGACCAAAGUGGGGGACCUUCGGGCCUCACACCAUCGGAUGAACCCAGAUGGGAUUAGCUAGUAGGUGGGGUAACGGCCCACCUAGGCGACGAUCCCUAGCUGGUCUGAGAGGAUGACCAGCCACACUGGAACUGAGACACGGUCCAGACUCCUACGGGAGGCAGCAGUGGGGAAUAUUGCACAAUGGGCGCAAGCCUGAUGCAGCCAUGCCGCGUGUAUGAAGAAGGCCUUCGGGUUGUAAAGUACUUUCAGCGGGGAGGAAGGGGACGAGGUUAAUAACCUCGUUCAUUGACGUUACCCGCAGAAGAAGCACCGGCUAACUCCGUGCCAGCAGCC
RNAcentral lists this ribosomal RNA (470 nucleotides) under uncultured bacterium. RNAcentral's name for it is "bacterial SSU rRNA". It matches the Rfam family "Bacterial small subunit ribosomal RNA", at positions 56 to 516 of the family's 1533-position model. The record is from RNAcentral.